This 258-nucleotide long non-coding RNA is filed under the name Vombatus ursinus (common wombat). Its description in RNAcentral is "lncRNA (ENSVURG00010023398.1)". The record is from RNAcentral. Lineage: Eukaryota; Metazoa; Chordata; Mammalia; Diprotodontia; Vombatidae.
GGAAGAGGUUUCCCAAGACACCACAGGCCAUGAGGAAAUGAGACUGAGACAAAAGGGCCCUGGAAAGAGUCUGGAAUAUCAAAACGCCCUCUCCAGUGACCAGGUCAGCGUGGCUGGAGGUUUCUGAUGGAAGAUGCCAGAGGUCAGGGAAUAAAGAACGAAUAAGUCAUUUGAAAUUCACAGUGGAAUGGAGCUCCAUUGUGAGCCGUGGAUCUUGGACUCCAAUCACGCUGUCUUCAGCUAUGUGACCUCAGGUGA